Molecule: ribosomal RNA, 492 nt
Filed under: uncultured bacterium
Lineage: Bacteria
Description: partial 16S ribosomal RNA
Rfam family: Bacterial small subunit ribosomal RNA
Source: RNAcentral
AGUGAACGCUGGCGGUAGGCCUAACACAUGCAAGUCGAACGGCAGCACAGUAAGAGCUUGCUCUUACGGGUGGCGAGUGGCGGACGGGUGAGGAAUACAUCGGAAUCUACUUUUUCGUGGGGGAUAACGUAGGGAAACUUACGCUAAUACCGCAUACGACCUACGGGUGAAAGCAGGGGAUCUUCGGACCUUGCGCGAUUGAAUGAGCCGAUGUCGGAUUAGCUAGUUGGCGGGGUAAAGGCCCACCAAGGCGACGAUCCGUAGCUGGUCUGAGAGGAUGAUGAGACAGACUGGAACGUAGAGGCGGCGCGGGCGCCGACGUGCGGCGCCAGUGCGGGAUGUUGGAGAAUGGGGGCGAGCUUGAUCCAGCCAUACGGCGUGGUUGAAGGAGGCCGUCGGGUUGUCAGGCGCGUUGGUUGGGAAAGAAAAGAAGCAGGUUAAUACCCGGGUGUUCGGACGCGACCGAAAGAAUAAGCACCGGCUGACUUGGUG